This is a small nucleolar RNA of Hibiscus syriacus, 107 nucleotides long. NCBI's taxonomy places the organism in Eukaryota, Viridiplantae, Streptophyta, Magnoliopsida, Malvales, Malvaceae. The record is from RefSeq and is a predicted model, not a curated record.
AAAUAAUGCAUCGGACAUUAGCGCAACAAUUCUUUAAAUCGUUCGCAUGCUUUAUACAAGAUCUCAUCCUCCAACUUCUUAAAAGAUGUGAUGUCAUUCCUCAAUUU